Molecule: unclassified non-coding RNA, 804 nt
Filed under: Hevea brasiliensis (rubber tree)
Lineage: Eukaryota; Viridiplantae; Streptophyta; Magnoliopsida; Malpighiales; Euphorbiaceae
Source: RNAcentral
AUCGAACAUCUUUGCUGACUCGGCCUCUUGCCUUGAUUUGUUCCACAACCAUGCCAACCAUCAAAGACCACCAAUAUACAUUGAAUACGACCAAGGAGAAUAGAAGUGUGUUAAAGAGAUAAUAAUAUAGAGGUCCAUCCACCAUGUGCUUCUCCAUGUCCAAGGUCAAAAGGACUUCAUAGCUGUCAAAAGAGAAAUGAAAACAAAAAAAUUAUAAACAAAGGCAAGCAUUAAAUUGAAGAAGAAGCAAGAGUUGGGGCAAAGGAGGAAGAAGAUGCUCUGCUUUAGUCAACCAUUUGUUACAGGUAGAAACAUGCUAAGAGGUGGCUGUUUGACACUUGAUUAGAUUUUUACUUCUACUUCUUCCAUUAUUUAUCAUCAUCGUUAUUAUUUUUGUGUGGUCAGUGGUGGGGAAAGGGCACAUCUAUAGUUCUGUACAAUUAAAACAGUAUGGCUUGAUCAGGAUGCUGAAAACCUACAACAGCAAGCAGAAUUGGUGAUGCAGCAAUCAAACCAGGAUACAGGAGACAGAACAACCAGCUUUACCUAACAGCAAAUUCAAGCAAGAAUUCAAAACCUGCAAACAUACUUGUCCAAACAAGAAAUGAUAGACUAGCAUCUGACUGACUAAGAUAUGCAUACAAGAUUCUAUUACGACCAUAAAAGAUUCUGUAAAUUCCCAAAUAUGUUAAAUCUUAGGCCAUAAUUCUGAUUAAACUUACUUUUCUUGGGCUCCUCAUUUACUCCAUCAACAUAUGAAUUCCAAACAAAGUAAGAUAAAUUUAAACCAUUAAAAUUUGAAUU